RNAcentral lists this transfer RNA (41 nucleotides) under Parazacco spilurus. Its description in RNAcentral is "partial tRNA-Phe". Lineage: Eukaryota; Metazoa; Chordata; Actinopteri; Cypriniformes; Xenocyprididae. The record is from RNAcentral.
GCUAGCGUAGCUUAACACAAAGCAUAACACUGAAGAUGUUA